GCCCCCCGUCUAUCGUCCGGACGACCAGCAACGGCGACACUCGACGGUAGCGAGCUGUUGGUAGCGGAACUCGGCAGGAUCGGCCGAGCGUUCGACCUACCCGGCGGCCGACAGAGGACCAGAGAGUCCCGGGUGGCGGAAAACAAAAAGGGGGGGCGACAAUCAGCCAAACUGUGGUGGCCACCGUGCGAGUCCGGCCGGCCGAGCAAGACGGAAGCACGCUAUCAGGCGUCCUUGGAGCGUGGUUGGAGCGCGCAGGAACGCGCUAGGUUCCUCUGGAGCCUGCAGCAGUCGGUGGCCGCGACCGGCAGCCGCGGCGGCGGCAGCUUCUUCCUCCAACCGAGCAAGUCUUGGCUCGCGGACACCGUCGGCGCCGAGGGGCCACGUUCCUCCAUCACCACGUAUUUUCACUCGUACCCGUUCGUCCCGGGUGGUGCGGUGUCCCUGCCUCCGCCACUGCUGAACAGUAUUAACAACGCGGCGGCAGCAGCGAUCACCCCCGGCCUGGUCGGACACCUUUUCGGCGGUCAGCAAGCCUGCAGUCUCGCCUGUAGCUGCACCUGCACCAACAUCGCCAACUGCACCCCCCACCACCACCAACAUCACCAUCAUCAGCAACAGCAACAGCAACAUCACCAUCACCACCAUCAGCAGCAACAGCAUCAUCAUCGGCCCAUCGGCGCUACGGUCCUCCUGCAACCGGUCGAGCACAUCAAAGACACCAUGGUGAGUGUCCCGGAAUUCCAGUACGCUCGAGGGACGGCCGCGUCCCUGACGAUGAGGGGUAGCGACGAGCUUCUGUCGCAGAGCGGAACAGUUAGCAAUGGUGCUGCAAUGAGUCCUCAACCACAUCACGCGGCCGACAACAACAAUGACGCCAAGAAGGUUAAACUCGACAAGAGCCACAAUAGCAAACCUUCGAGAGUCAUUCAUAUCAGAAACAUCCCGAACGAGGUGUCGGAUGCCGAGGUCGUCCAUCUUGGUACACCAUUCGGUCGCGUUACUAACGUCCUCGUUCUCAAAGGCAAGAAUCAGGCGUUUUUGGAACUGGCGGAUGAGAAUUCUGCAGCAACGAUGGUGGGUUACUACGGCACUUGCAUCGCUCAGCUCCGUGGCAGAAUAGUCUACGUCCAAUUCAGCAAUCAUCGGGAGCUCAAGACGGAUCAAACACACACCAACAACGCGAACUCGAACAACCAAGUUGCAAUUCCUGGACAGAAUCAGGUGGGGCAGGCGGAGACUCAAGGGGGACCGAACACGGUUCUCAGAGUUAUCGUCGAGCAGAUGGUGUACCCCAUUUCCUUGGAAGUGCUGUAUCAGAUAUUCACACGGUUCGGCAAGGUCCUGAAAAUCGUCACCUUCACCAAGAACAGUACCUUCCAGGCGCUAAUACAAUACGCGGACAUGCUGUCGGCGCAAACUGCUAAACUCUCACUGGAGGGCCAGAACAUCUACAAUUCCUGUUGCACACUGCGCAUCGACUACAGCAAGAUGCAGAACCUGAACGUGAAAUACAAUAACGACAAGUCGAGGGACUACACCAACCCGACGCUGCCGACCGGUGACGCGAAUUUGGACGCUGCAUCGCUUGCACUUGGAGGUGAGCUUCUUCCACAGUUGCUGAUGGGUGCUGGGUCACAGCCACGCGCUAGAAUACCCGUAGAGUCCAUUGCAGGGGCACCGGGUGUGCUGCCCACGCCCUUUGCUGCCAUGCACGGCCUGCCCUCGCCCUUGGCGGGUCCCUACAAUGGGGUACCACCCGCUGGAGGCCUGGCUGGACUCGGCGGUUUCCCUCUCGGAGCGGCAGGCCUCGGGGUUCGUGUGCCCACCAACGCGCAAACCUCCGCCGUGCUGCUCGUCAGCAACCUGAACGAAGAGAUGGUCACGCCUGACGCUCUCUUUACCCUGUUUGGCGUUUACGGGGAUGUACAGCGUGUGAAGAUUCUCUACAACAAGAAGGACUCGGCACUGAUUCAGAUGGCCGAACCCCAUCAGGCACACUUAGCAUUGACACACAUGGACAAGCUGAGAGUGUUUGGGAAGCAGAUCAAAGUGAUGCUUAGCAAGCAUCAAACUGUUCAGUUGCCGAAGGAGGGACAGCCAGACGCGGGUUUGACGAAGGAUUACACCAACAGUCCCCUUCACCGAUUCAAGAAACCAGGCUCGAAAAAUUAUCAGAACAUCUACCCACCGAGCGCAACCUUGCAUUUAUCGAAUAUUCCUAACACUGUAACCGAGGAGGAGAUCAGGGAUGCUUUCACUAAGAACGGAUUCACCGUGAAGGCUUUCAAGUUCUUCCCGAAAGACAGGAAAAUGGCCCUCAUACAGAUGCCUAGCAUGGACGAUGCUGUUACUGCUCUGAUCAAAAUGCACAACUACCAGCUGAGCGAAUCCAACCACCUGAGAGUAUCAUUUUCCAAGAGCAACAUCUAACAAGAGUCGCAAUCAAACGACCGGCAGUGGUACCAGCCCUACGCCCUAGUCCCCUUUUGGUCACCCGGCGCAGUGUACGACUGAUGAUCCUUGCGAUGGGUCCAGUCCGUUGCUCAUCCGUUCCUACAAAGGCUGCAACCUCAUUGACUGGCCACCACCACCACCACCACCACCGCCGCCGCCGUUCUAUCGUGCUUGGUACGAGCGUACCAGAGAAACAAACUAAAAUGAACAGCAACGCAGCAUGACAGAGAAAAGCGAAAGGAAGCCGACACCGCCGAGCUUGUUGGUCCCCGGAUUUCGGGGCCCGGACGAACCACCACGACUACGAGUACUUUCCGGCCCCUCCCGGGAGUACAAUACUGUGUAUCCAUUUCUAUGUUUUUCUUCUCAUUCGAUCACGAACAGAGACACGCUGCGUAAGGGUUUUCCACGCAGGACUCACGGCCUGGAAACAGAAAACAAAAAUGGAUUAGGGCUGCGCAACGGAGGAACCGCGAACCAGGUUUACGGGUUGGGAUUGAUGUUAGAUGGGCUAUACAGAGUGGGGAGGGAGUGGGGGUGGGGAUGGGGGGGGGAGGACGAGGAGGAUCGGGUUGACCGAAAGUAAAGCGGCGUCGCGGACUCUGUAUUCAGGAACCGGUGCUGGUUUUCCAGGCGGCGCGAAAUAAUGAAUGACCCGGGGUACGAAACGAGCGAUUUAAUUGAAAGCCAGAACCGUUCAGAGAGAAAGAGAGAGGGGAGAGCACCGAAGCUCGUGUCUCCCGCGUCUAACGAAAGAGAGACACGUGCGCGCGCGCCCGCGCUCGACGUGUGCGCGCGCACACGCAUAUAUACACACACGAGUAUUCUGAAGGGAGGAGGGAGAGACCUAGGAUUAAAAAAUGGGUACGAAGGAGGGACUCGGUCGAAGAGCCCCUCGGCUCUUGUACAGAGUUUAUCUUUAAAGUAUAAGGUAUAUAUAUAUUAUAUAUAUAUACAUAUAUACAGAUAUAUAUAUAAAUAUAUAUUAUAUAUUUUACAAGCGUGACGCUAGCCGACCGAUGGCCGAGCGAGAAAAAAAAAGUACAUCUUGAAACCGAGUAACGAUGUUAAGGAUUUUUAAAGUUAAACAAACAAACAAACAAAAAAAAAUACAAUAUGAUAUGAUAUGAUAGAAGAAAAACGGAUCUGGGACGACCGUUCGAUCGAUCAUUGGAUCACGCGUCUUUGUUAGCAUGUAAGUGAAAAAUUGUCGACGAGUUUUUCAGUCGGCGCAUAAGCCACGUGCACAGUCUAGGACAAAAACAAGGAGGUAGCAUGAAUGAAAGUAGGGGGUACCCGACGAUGAUCGGCGACGGCGAUGAUUGUGACGAUGACGAGAUGACGACGGUGGCUUCGCGAUCGUCGGGUACCAAGGUCUAAUUUGUUAGGGCUGAUUGUGAACGGGACCCUUGGCAGUUUAUCCGCGAGCUGCUCGCGCCGUUUCAUUCUGGGCCCACUCGCCGUCUGCCCACCUGCGGCGCGCGAAGACGGGGCCCCGGGGAACGACGCGAGCGUUUUAUCGAGGUUUUCUCGCGCCACGCGUCGCAGCCGGUGCUUCUUCGUGGGCCACCCGAUUCUUCUAUAUGCGUUUUCUCCUUCGAUCUAUAUAUUAUAUAUUUUUCUGUUCUCCUCCUGAAAGUGUACCUUCAGUAUUCUCGGCGGCCCGCUGCCUCGACGGGGGCUCGGCCGUCGACCAUUAUCGGGUUCGAUCGUGUGUUUAGCUCGACUGGCCACGUGGCGGGAUCGUUGACGCUGUCGUACGUCGUUGCGGGUGGUAUUUUUAUAAUUUGUAUGUUCGACGAUAAGUAUUAAUCACACGCCGUACACGCGACACGCGACAUUCAUACACACAUACACACAGAGACAGAGACAGACACGAGAGUUCGCACAGAGAGACACGGACAUUUAUGUACACACAGAGACAGGAACACAGAGACACGGAGAGAGAGUGAAACACGAUACACACACAGAUACACACACACAGAGACGCAGGUUUCUUAGCUGAUAGGUGCUUAGGAUUGUGUAGAAUCUUUAAUCGUAAUUAAAUAAGGGUCACACCACACGUAUAUUGACAAGGAGAAGGGAGUGAACCGUUAAACAUAUCGCUAAUUAAACAAACAAACAAAAAAAAAAGAUAAGAGCUAGAUGUGAAACGAGUUUGUACAUGCGUAGAGGAGAGGGGGGACUCUGUAUCAGUGGGGGGGAAUUCUGGAACGCCUGGAUGACGACGGUUCGACCUCGUUUACUUUUCCAUCCGGCUGACGAUUAGUUCCUGAUCUCCAAGCAUUCCUGUCGACAUGGCGGCGCGAAGAGGGCGCCCGCCCCCGCUAGGGUGACGCUUAGCCUGAACCCAAGGUCAGGGGAGCGGAGAGGCUAACAGUUCGGGGAGGUCUGUUGUGUUUUUGAACGAUGUUGAACUCGCCGGUGUCGCGUACCACGAUAAAUCACGAUGAAAAACUCUAUGAUACACGUAGCCGUUACACUGCAGAGCGUAAAUAUAUUAUAUAUGUAUAUAUAUAAAUAUAUUAAUGGAAACCAGAGGAGUGGCCCGAGGGGACGCUUGUAUCUGGCCGACGGGGAGGAGAGGGGCUGCUUUCCCGGCGCCCCCCACGGACACGGACAUUAACGCGAAACAUACUCGAGACUAUGGCGGAGAGCUGGGGCCCGGUCCUCGCGCCACCGGGCGAGAAAUAAAUUAUCAGUAGUGUCGUAGCGUCGUGAUCUGAACUGGCCCUCUGUCGGUGGCGUCGCGACGCCGCGUCCGUCGCGUUCGUUCCGUUCGUCGGCCACCGAGGACGUCUUAUCAAACGCGCCGGGGCAGCGUCGUCGCGACGCGACCACGGACGCCCGGAAAAGUUUCUGUCUACUCGACGUUCUGUUGGAGUCAAUUAAAUCUUAUUAAAUAUACGUAUCGACCGUGUGUAGAGAUUGGUAGCGGAGGGAAAUGCGCGUGAAAGUGGCGUGGCGAGAAUGGAUGGUGUGCGUGCGAGAGAGAGGACCGUCGAGAGAGUGCUAGUGACGGAGCGAGUGCUGUUGCGUGAGCCAGAGAGAAAGAGACUAAUGCGACUCGAAGCGAUGUGAGUGAAACAGAUAAACAGAAGAAGAAAAAACUACAAAAAAAUAUAUUUAACAAAGCGAGUGCCGGCCCGGGCAGUGUUGUUUGUGCCAAAGUAGGCUAGCCGUUAAUUCUAGGGUGGGGUCUCUCCUUCAGCCGACAGGAUUCGGCGCCUGGCGACGGCUUUCGGGUCUGGCUAUUGGGGUCCUUCAGAUUUUGGGGUUUGCCGGAUCCUCCGGCAUUCGUCCGGGUGCUGAAGACACUUCUGACGACUGUCCAUUAUCCCCUAACCUUGCUGGCAAUUCUGGCGACCAGGUCCACAUAGUCCUUUCAGCAAUCACAUAAAGUCUGGUUGCUGCUCUAGCAUCUUUCCCGACCCAAACAAGACUCCAAGCUGACUUACAGGUCCUGAUGACACUCCUGGCAUCCCCUGUUCCUGAUCACUAGCAAGUCCACACAUAGUUCUUCCAAUAAUCAUCUAGAGUUUGGCAGCUCUUCUAGCACCUAUCCAAAUCAAGAUAACACUUCUAGCUACCACCCAGAUCCUGACAUCUUAACUGAUGUCAGGAUCCUAACACUCUUGACAUCUCCUACAGUCCAGAUGACACUCCUAACGUCCUUUAAUCCUGGCGACCCUCCUAGCCAGCUCCCAAUAGUUCUCCUAACGACCACCUGCAGUCUGAUAGCUCUUCUAGCACCUAGGGCUCGAUGACCCCCUCUAUCUUUUGGCAAAGGCAGAAGCGUGAAGUUCAGCUCGCCGGGGGCCAGUUCGUGGAUGGCUGGGGAGAGUGAGAAUCGACCAAUCAGUAGAGACGUAGCGAGUAGCCGGCAUGAGCGAAGGGGCCAGUCUUUGCAUCUAUGAUCUGUCUUUCGAAUCUCCGAUAUAUUUACAUUAUUUAAUCCGAUGACUGCAUUUAUAGACUCUACCGAGACAAGGAGGGAAAAGCGUCCGUCGUGCGAGACGCUGACUCGUCACACGUUCACACCGGGUACACACGUACACGACACGUUCACGUUAUUUUCGGUUCAGGGACACUUUUCCGUGACUUCCUUGGGAUAGGCUUGUUUCUCCAGCGAUCGUUUGACACUCGACGUCGUCCGAGCGGACGCCUCGGUCCUCUUUCCGACGUCGUGAAUCAUUUUGGAGACUGGGCGCGGCUUGUACGGAUCGCGCGUGGUCCGCGAAAUAAUUCUCGCAUUCGAAGAAAGGACUCCGGCGUGUCCGCUCGGACGUCGAUGUUUGGAAUUCAUUGCCUCGCAGUGCGUCCUCUACUUUAAGGUUCUCCUUUUAAGUAUUAAAACAGGCUCUUUCAAUUGUCCCGCGCUGACCGCCACGAUACAGCACAAAAGGAAUCGCGUGGGGGGGAGUCUUGUUCGGCGCUAGGGAACCAGUUGAAGGCCUCCCGCACAAUAGUAUUUCCGGCACAAUGUCUCGCAAGCGUACCUGAAAUGCCUGUAAACGCCGCCAAACCGACGUCGAGCCGACGGUGUGUUGUCCAAGCGACCCGAGGCCCGUCGUCCGGCGUUACCAUUCUGCGUUGAUUCUUAUCUAGGAGCUUUUCUCAACACAUUCCCAGUUCACACCUGAUCGAACACACGCGACACAGAGACACACGCGCGCGCGCACAGACGCCCGUUCUUUCGUACAAUCGUUUUCAGUCCAUGUUCUUUUCUGAUCGUUUAGACAAUUCGUCCGACAUAGUUCCCGAAACCGAACAGAUCUUCACGUUCAUUGCGACGACAAUGAUUUUCCUCUUCUUUCUGAUUUCCGCCAAAAACAAAAAAAAAGAUAGAUUUCUAAACGAGGGACAGUAGUGAAAGCUUUAAAGAAGAAAAAAAAAGAUAAUCAAUUCGGUGAAUCAAACGGGCCAGCCGUACCGGGUUGUAGAUUAUCCGCAGGGUGUCAAACAUGCUCCAACAUCCGGUCCGAUAACGUUUCAACAAACAUCUCGACACUUCCUUCGGAACAUUUUCGAACGAAUAAUCUCGUUUCACGGUACAGCAGCAAUUUCUGAUUUUCGAAUCGGUAGAUUUCGGUGACGCGCAGAGGUCCCCGGGCUCGCUCGGGCACGUCGUGGCUCGAGGUGGCACCCUGCGGACGAUUUAGAUUGAGUAUAUCAUUAGCUGGGUUGAGGGGGGCCGAUGUGAGGGUUGGGAUAGCCAGCACUCGCUACAUGGUGUCGCGGAUACUCAGGCUCCGAAAUUUCUCCAGACCAACGUAAACUCCUUUGCGAAAUUCUAGAAGAGUUGUUCUAAUAUUAUAGAUGUAUACAUAUUCAACGUAACUUCCUCAUAUAGACGACGUAUUUUUAUAUACUAUAGAGACCAAAUGGCAAGACGACUCUCGAUUGCUCUGAUCGUUCGAAGUUCUAAAAUAGAUCCACGGCGGACAAAACGCUCCUUCCACACACCACCCUUUGCGGACGAUCGGUCGAUCGAUCGAUCGGAUCUGGUAGAUCACGCUCGGCUAUACUUGCGCGCGUCGAACAUCGCCAAACAAUCGGUAGCCGACGGAAUGACGGCCGGCAGGGUCGGACAUCCCUGUUCAGUGACCCCCCAGAGGAUGCGACAUGAAACUGUGACAAUCAAGCUAUCGGAUCUCGUCAAACCGCGUCGAAACGUUCCAAGUACAAAGUAUUCCCUGAGUAGCAGUCUACCAAAAGCGUACCAAAGUCAGCUAACGAAAGAACAGCGACGUCCGAGGUGUCCCCGGAGGGUCAGACACGCUGAGCAUGAUCGAGAAACGAUCCCCUUUCUUUCCGAGUCGAAUUAGGACGAUGCUGAAAACACCCGCGUAAUCGAGUCGAGCCCAAUCGUCGAAUGAAGCUAAACCUGAGCAAAAGGAAAAAAAUAAAAAUAAAAAAGAAAUGAAAUGAAUAAAACUGUUCGGACCAAGGAAAUUCGGGGUCUGGUUCGAGCCACGCAGUAGACGAAGCUUAGCCUACAGAGGUUAUUAGUCACUAUAGCGGUGAGACGUGACACACAUUAAAUAAGCACACGGCAUGUAUGUAAAGAAAACGGGUUCGUCGGAACCCGACGACACUACAGAGACGUACACGUAGAUAAAUAUUACACACUGUCACACACUACGUACACACACGGACAGACAUACACACAUACACACACAACGUAUAUCCCCCAUAUAAUACACCUACGAGCGUGCAUAUAUUACAUAUAUAUAUAAAUAAAUAUAUGUUCAAACACGUAUAUGUAUAUGUAUAUUUGGUAUAUCGCACGGUAAAUAGGUAUAUCUGAAAAAUGGGCGUGACUGCAUCUCUAUAAUCUAUAUUUUAUUAAUAACAGAUAAGUCUAGGGUUACCGAAGUUACGGAUUAUGUAAUGAAUUAGAUGAAAAGAUUAAUCUAUUAAUGAAUAUAUUGUAUAUGCGGUAUAUGCGGUAGGAGUACGAGGGAGAGAAAGAGAGCGAAAGAGAGAGAGAGAGAGAGAGAGAGAGAGAGAGAGAGAGAGUGGUAAGAGAGAAUGAUGGAGAAAUUGCGCCGGGGAGAGAAUCGAGGAUGCUGAAAGUCUGGUGAGAGUGAGACACCGCGUGUAGAUCAGGUUUAAACAAAAUUACUUAUCGGUAACUGUGUAAAAAUAUAUCGUUGGAAGUUCA
Megalopta genalis is the source of this 9124-nucleotide non-coding RNA. The record is from RefSeq and is a predicted model, not a curated record. Lineage: Eukaryota; Metazoa; Arthropoda; Insecta; Hymenoptera; Halictidae.